CCAAUAGCGUAUAUUAAAGUUGUUGCAGUUAAAAAGCUCGUAGUUGAACUUCGGGGUCUACCCAUUGGUCAGGCUUAAUUGUCUGCACUGGUGAGAUGGAUCUCUACCUUCUGAGGAACUUUCAUGCCAUUUAUUUGGUGUGAUGGGAAAUCAGGACUGUUACUUUGAAAAAAUUAGAGUGUUUAAAGCAGACUAUCGUCUGAAUACAUUAGCAUGGAAUAAUGAAAUAGGACGGACUGAUUCUAUUUCGUUGGUUUCUAGGAUCACCGUAAUGAUUAAUAGUGAUAGUUGGGGGCAUUAGUAUUCAAUUGUCAGAGGUGAAAUUCUUGGAUUUAUUGAAGACUAACUACUGCGAAAGCAUUUGCCAAGGAUGUUUUCAUUAAUCAAGAACGAAAGUUAGGGGAUCGAAGACGAUCAGAUACCGUCGUAGUCUUAACCAUAAACUAUGCCGACUAGGGAUCGGACGAAGUUAAUUUUAUAAUGACGCGUUCGGCACCUUACG
Molecule: ribosomal RNA, 502 nt
Filed under: uncultured Glomeromycotina
Lineage: Eukaryota; Fungi; Glomeromycota
Description: partial small subunit ribosomal RNA
Rfam family: Eukaryotic small subunit ribosomal RNA
Source: RNAcentral